Molecule: ribosomal RNA, 405 nt
Filed under: uncultured bacterium
Lineage: Bacteria
Description: partial 16S ribosomal RNA
Rfam family: Bacterial small subunit ribosomal RNA
Source: RNAcentral
GACGAACGCUGGCGGCGUGCGUAACAAAUGCAAGUCGCGCGGAGCGGCGAACGGGUGAGUAACGCGUGAGUAACUGCCCCCCUCUCUGGGAUAACAGUUGGAAACGGCUGCUAAUAUCGGAUAGUGGGGGAUGACUCGCGUCCUAUCAGCUUGGUGGUGGGGUAUUGGCCUACCAAGGCGACUACGGGUAGCCGGCCUGAGAGGGCGACCGGCCACAUUGGGCUGAGAUACGGCCCAAACUCCUACGGGAGGAAGCAGUGGGGAAUAUUGCACAAUGGGGGAAACACUGAUGCAGCAACGCCGCGUGCGGGAUGACGGCCUUCGGGUUGUAAACCGAUUUCAGCCAUGACGCGGUAGUGGCAGAAGAGGCAACGGCUAACUACGUGCCAGCCGCCGCGGUAAUUC